Long non-coding RNA from Meriones unguiculatus (Mongolian gerbil), 1358 nucleotides. RefSeq lists it as uncharacterized. Lineage: Eukaryota; Metazoa; Chordata; Mammalia; Rodentia; Muridae. The record is from RefSeq and is a predicted model, not a curated record. The transcript is spliced from 3 exons.
CAAACGUCUGCUAUCUGGACACGACUGCCCAGAUGGAGGAGAAUCAGUGUCCGUGGAGACUACCGUAAUUAUAGACCUGCCACUAUUUUCUACCUGAAGGUUUCUCAGCACGGCCCAGAUGUUGGCUUUGAAGCAUGGUUGCAUUACGCCCUCCUUCCGAAGAAACACUCUGCUCACAAGAUAUCUUUUCAACCUCAACUCCUUUGCAGCAACACAGAAACAGAGAAACAAUGAAAAAAGGACAUGGAGACUUUAAAUGGCAACACACACAAGUACUCAGCACACAGGAUUUCUCACAGAAACUUCAAAAUGGGAAGGGACUAUGAUAGUGAUGAAGCUGGAUGGUCCCGCCCCAGGAACCAUGACAGACAACAACAUGAGAAUGGCAUGCAGGAAUGCGGGGGACCUAAACUCCUUCCUCAGAAAAUGGCUUUCUGCAGAGCCUCAACUAUUGGACACAAUCUGAUUAGGUCUUUUCUUUCCCCCCUCUACUUGACACAAGUUAGGGUCAUCUGAGAAUAGGGAACGUCAGCUGAAAACAUGUCUCCAUAAAAUAAUCAAGGGUCAUUUUCUCAAUUAAUGAUUGGUGUGCGUGAACCUAGCUCACUGUGGGUGGUGCCAUCACUGGCCAGGUGCAUACAUCAACAACUUCCACCCUCCAAACACCUGUCCACUUACUUGGAGUCAAGAAUCUCAGUGCAGGGAUGAAAGGAUAUCCUGAAGACUCCAGCUGAGUGAUGUCACAGGUUCCAGAAGUAUUCAAGCCUACAGCUUCGCAUCUACUGCACGACUCCCAGCUGCCUAUUCCACCCUGUCCAGCAGAUCUCAAGCACCCCAAGGACGUGUGAGCAUUCUUAAUCCAUCUCACUUCCAAGCAUUUUCUGGUAGUCAUCACUGGAACUUGAAUACCUCUGAAUCUUAAGAGAGUGGCUUCCAUAAAUGAAACCUGUCCAUAUAACUCCUGCUCUGGACUUGAGACCUUAUAUUCUAUCAUCAUUUUCCAUUAAAAUCAGAUAGAAGAACAGCUAGCAAAAAGUCUCAAAGCACUGUAAUCCCAGACAUCGCUUGCAUGGGAAUUGAGAAGUGUGAGUUCCUGUGGCACCCUCCACUUACCUCUCCACGGUCAGUAGAUGUCUUUGCACUUACUGGAAUCUGUGAAUAAAGAAGGCUGUGAGUGAAAAGUCUCCCACUACCCUGAACAGGUCUUGAAUUCACAGGGCUUCCCCGGGCUCUUUAGUGGAUGUGCCUGCGGACCCUAUGCCUUUGAGAAAUUCCAACUAAGAGCCCAGCCCCGGUUGCACUCUAGGACUCGUGGCGGGGGGUACGGGGGGGGGUGAUCACGUGUUACGCACCUGUGC